Molecule: long non-coding RNA, 89 nt
Organism: Sinocyclocheilus grahami
Lineage: Eukaryota; Metazoa; Chordata; Actinopteri; Cypriniformes; Cyprinidae
Exons: 3
Source: RefSeq, a predicted model, not a curated record
CUUUAUGUAAUAAAUCCUAGCCUAAUUAAUUAACAUGACACGACUAAGAGAGUGCAGUUUUCCCCGAAAAUCAGUACGAUUGUAAAUUC